This 253-nucleotide ribosomal RNA is filed under the name uncultured bacterium. RNAcentral's name for it is "partial 16S ribosomal RNA". It matches the Rfam family "Bacterial small subunit ribosomal RNA", at positions 524 to 776 of the family's 1533-position model. The record is from RNAcentral.
UACGUAGGGUGCAAGCGUUGUCCGGAAUUAUUGGGCGUAAAGAGCUCGUAGGCGGUUUGUCGCGUCGAAUGUGAAAACCCGGGGCUCAACCCCGGGCCUGCAUUCGAUACGGGCAGACUAGAGUUCGGUAGGGGAGUCUGGAAUUCCUGGUGUAGCGGUGAAAUGCGCAGAUAUCAGGAGGAACACCGAUGGCGAAGGCAGUGGUCUGGGCCGAUACUGACGCUGAGGAGCGAAAGCGUGGGGAGCGAACAGG